AGGACUAGCCGUUCAAAAGACUUCAUGACUACAGAGGUCAGGGCGACGGGCCUGUAGUCAUUGAGUCCUGUGAUCCUGGGCCUCUUGGGAACAGGAAUGAUGGUGGAGGCCUUGAAGCAGGCUGGUACGUGGCAUGUCUCCAGGGAGGUGUUGAAGAUGUCUGUGAACACCGGAGACAGCUGGUCAGCACAAUACUUCAGUCCGGACCGGCUGCUUUGCGAUUACGGAGCCGACCUACCCAACACUAACGGAAUCGGUCGACAGACUUUGCUGACGAACACAAACGGAGGUAAACUUUCUUACUACUUACUUUCCAACUUAAAUUGACUUGAUUAUCAGUCCACAAUAAAUUAAAUGAAAACAAUUGCCUGAAGUCAUUAAUUCAUUUAUGGAUGAAUUAGAGGUUCUGGUAAUGUCAGCAAGUGGAGCGGAGUCCGGUCUUCACACCGAGCUCACAGCGUCAGGUCUUGGACUUCAGCCAAAUGUCACAGUGUCGCCCCUCGCUGUCCUCCACACAGACACACUGCCCUCAGUUUCGCAUGGGUACUCCCACACAGAGCUGGUUAGCAUGGCAACAGACUCCACAGGGACAUACACAGUUUCAGCAGAUCCAACAGGAACUCCAUUUGACUUCAGUCAUCCAGCUGUGACGGAUCACACACAGAUGGCUGGUCAAGUCACUGAACAGUACUACCCAUCUGGUCAGGGUCCUGAAGGUACAAAAAAUGUGGAAUUGGAGGAUACCUGCUGACUUCCACAUAAAGCCGCAAGUUCGAUUCCUGCGCUACAGCUUCCAGUGUACCGACAAAUCAGCAAUGCCGAGGAAAUCAACCCCCUUCCACUAGCCGUAGGCCACGCCCACUGAGUGCCAGCAACUCAUUGGUGUUUUUUUUUUAAUAUUUAAAAUGUGGAAUUCUGUUUAUAGAAUUGUAUUUUGUCUUAGAGAAAAAUUAUGGAAAAAAAAUUUCAGCUAAUUUUUCCAUGUUUCUGAUUUGACUUCCUCUUCACAAUCAGGAUUGUAAACUUCUAC
Gasterosteus aculeatus aculeatus (three-spined stickleback) is the source of this 1030-nucleotide long non-coding RNA. NCBI's taxonomy places the organism in Eukaryota, Metazoa, Chordata, Actinopteri, Perciformes, Gasterosteidae. The record is from Ensembl.